RNAcentral lists this transfer-messenger RNA (398 nucleotides) under Candidatus Gottesmanbacteria bacterium. It matches the Rfam family "transfer-messenger RNA". From Rfam's summary of the family: Bacterial tmRNA, also known as 10Sa RNA or SsrA, is named for its dual tRNA and mRNA-like properties. Its role is to liberate the mRNA from a stalled ribosome. The record is from RNAcentral. Lineage: Bacteria; Candidatus Gottesmaniibacteriota.
GGGGAUGCUUCGUUCGACGAAGCGAGCACUUUGAAAAUUGCAAGCCGGCGGUGGUAAGAAAGCCGUAAAACAUUACCAAACAUACCUGCUAAUGAAUCAGCAGAAAAGCUUGUUGCUCUCGAUGCCUUAACCGGCGGACGACAACUUGCUCAUGCCUACGCGUAAAUCUUACGCCUCAGCAUGCAUCGGUAGUUCUCUCUCCUGAUGGAGAGGUAUCGGUGUAAACACAGUCAGGACGUCAGAAAUCAACUGGUCGGUUGAUUUCGGAGGAUUCUAGACCAACACUGUCGUGAAUCGUCUUUGUCAAUAAAGACCACGCUUUUAUAGUAUUGACUACGCUUGUAGACAUUUUCGAAUUGUUACUUCGGACUCCGGCUCAAUACCGGACAUCUCCACAC